UCCGUAGGCGGGCGACUAAGUCAGAUGUGAAAUCCCACAGCUUAACUGUGGAACUGCCUUUGAUACUGGUUGUCUUGAGUUAUAGUGAAGUAGAUAGAAUAUGUAGUGUAGCGGUGAAAUGCUUAGAUAUUACAUAGAAUACCGAUUGCGAAGGCAGUCUACUAACUAUAUACUGACGCUAAUGGACGAAAGCGUGGGGAGCGAACAGGAUUAGAUACCCUGGUAGUC
This 228-nucleotide ribosomal RNA is filed under the name uncultured bacterium. RNAcentral describes it as "partial 16S ribosomal RNA". It matches the Rfam family "Bacterial small subunit ribosomal RNA", at positions 568 to 795 of the family's 1533-position model. The record is from RNAcentral.